This 367-nucleotide unclassified non-coding RNA is filed under the name Hevea brasiliensis (rubber tree). Lineage: Eukaryota; Viridiplantae; Streptophyta; Magnoliopsida; Malpighiales; Euphorbiaceae. The record is from RNAcentral.
GUUCCCAAUUUAAUUAAUCUCAAGAAUAAUAUUAAAGAGAAGUCACAUGAAACACUUUUGCACACUGAAGACUUGGAAGAUUCUAUCACCGUGGUGAGGUUAAUGAAAGAUUGUGGUUUCCCCAUUGCUGAUGAGAUGGUUAGAGACAUCAAGACAUCUCUAGCUAUGAUGUCAUCAAAACAACCAAGAAGAGGAUUAAUCCAUGGCCCAACUUCAAAUUUUCAAAUGGGAACAACUAUCUCAUGGGGACCGUCCACUUGGGGUCAAAAUGGAGUCCGGCAGGAAAGCAGAACUAGUAGUUAUUUUUCAUCUGUAUUUAAGACUGCAAAAGAAAGGGCCAGCAAUUUCAAGUGGCCACAGCUUGAUC